Molecule: ribosomal RNA, 403 nt
Filed under: Verrucomicrobiota bacterium
Lineage: Bacteria; Pseudomonadati; Verrucomicrobiota
Description: Verrucomicrobia bacterium partial 16S ribosomal RNA
Rfam family: Bacterial small subunit ribosomal RNA
Source: RNAcentral
UGGGGAAUAUUGCACAAUGGGGGAAACCCUGAUGCAGCGACGCCGCGUGAGCGAAGAAGGUUUUCGAAUCGUAAAGCUCUGUCCUAUGAGAAGUUAAUGACGGUAUCAUAGGAGGAAGCCCCGGCUAAAUACGUGCCAGCAGCCGCGGUAAUACGUAUGGGGCGAGCGUUGUCCGGAAUUAUUGGGCGUAAAGGGUACGUAGGCGGUCUAUUAAGUCAGGUGUGAAAGCGUGAGGCUUAACCUCAUUAAGCACUUGAAACUGAUAGACUUGAGUGAAGGAGAGGAAAGUGGAAUUCCUAGUGUAGCGGUGAAAUGCGUAGAUAUUAGGAGGAAUACCGGUGGCGAAGGCGACUUUCUGGACUUUUACUGACGCUCAGGUACGAAAGCGUGGGGAGCAAACAGG